GCCGGGCUGCAGAUCAACACGCCAUUCAUAAUAUGGAUGUUUUUCUCGUUGCGGUGUUCAUAGAGCAAAUUACGUAUUUUCUAAAAGGUCUCUCAGAAUGUUUUACAGUUCCGUAGCGGUCCGUAUCAAAUUCGGCUCAAGUCUCAUCCACCAACAACCAGCGGAUUGAGCCAAAUCUGUUUUUUAGAGUCUGUCGUCCAAACACCCAGACGGCGCCGGCCGUGCUUUGUUAGAUGAAGUGUUUUUGUUUUUUUGUUAGAUGAAGUGUUUUUGUGUUUUUGUUAGAUGAAGUGUUUUUGUUUUUUUGUUAGAUGAAGUGUUUUUGGAGCAUCUUUCUUACUCGUUAAAAGGCACUGGCCGUGUGCUGCGAGUCGGCGUCAAACUGUGGGCCAGCCUCGGCAGGGUUCUGCACCGGGCUGCUAGCUAACGGCAGCUAGCGAGCAAGAGCCGAUUCCUGUGAAGGAAGCCGAGGAAAGCAUCAGCGGCACGGACAGGCUAGGCUAACGGACCGGCUAGCAGCUAGCAUAGCUGUGCCUGGAUCGUUGCAAACAGCAGCAGCUUGUAACGUAAGCUAAGCUAACGGGCUGCUUAGCCUACUGAGACCAAUCAAUUAGUCGUAAAGCUACAGCUAACGGGGCUCUUCAUCACGGGCAGCAGCGACUGAAUGACAGGCAGCCGUCAGGAUCUACAACCACAAGGGGAGGUGUUGAUCUCCAGGGUGUGCUGAGAUGACAGCAGGUGUGACACAUUGGGUGCGUUCGGCGUUCACGCCCAGCUGCAGGUUCGCUCCCCGUCACCAACAUCACCUGGACCAGCUUCUUCCUCGUCCGGCGCUCCAGCGUCACCGAGCAGAACGUUAGCGUCGCCACGGUGUCGCAGCUCCUCUACAAGAUGUGUGACAUCAUGACCGCCGCCUUCAGGAAGAUCAGCGAGCAGAACAUCCAGAGCGACGUGGGCCUCGUGCACGAGCUGUGGAAGCUGUUGUGUUCUUUACCCAAACCCCGAGGGACUGUAGAUCCUGGACCCUGCUCACCCUCAGAUCUCAGAAACCCUUCAUCACCCAGCAAGGCAUCAGGAGCCUGAGAGUAAAGUGGACAUCAUCCUGCUGCGGGCCGCCCUGAGCCGCCCCGAGCCGCCCCGGGCCGGAGGUCAGAGUGCUCAUCAAGUCCAACUGGACGAGCUCCCUGCUGGCCCAGAGGAUGGAGGUGGCGUCUCCCCCUGAAGGUUUUGGAGCCCAAACUGAGUCAAAUGGGUUUGUUACAUCAGAUGCAGCGGCAUCCACGAGACCCCGCCCCCACCCCCACCGCCACCGCCACCGCCGGGGCUGAUGGGACUGCAGCAGGACGGCAGCCUGAUGGAGCCUCUGUUUGCUCCUGUUGUCCCAUUUCAGGGGUUUUCUGUGUGUGUGUGUGUGUGUGUGUGUGUGUGUGUGUGUGUGUGUGUGUGUGUGUGUGUGUGUGUGUCCAGGACAGUGUUUUCAUGUUUACAUGUUGUUACAUGGUGCCUCCAGCAGGUGGCAGCACUCCAUGUUGAGAAUCUGUGAGUUUUCUUUGACUCUGUUCAUUCCUGUUCAGUGUUAAAACACAUGAAGAAGAAGAUGAUGAAAUCAUCAAAUCUAACCCAUCUGUUGAUCACGCUAACCAGUCAGGUGUGUGUGCGUGUGUGCGUGUGUGCGUGUGUGCGUGUGUGCGUGUGUGCGUGUGUGUGUGUGUGUGUGUGUGUGUGUGUGUGUGUGUGUGUCAUCUGAAAUGAGCAGCUUUCUGGUUUUUCAAUAAAAUCAAUACA
Molecule: long non-coding RNA, 1785 nt
Organism: Myripristis murdjan (pinecone soldierfish)
Lineage: Eukaryota; Metazoa; Chordata; Actinopteri; Holocentriformes; Holocentridae
Exons: 6
Source: RefSeq, a predicted model, not a curated record